UUGGCCUCCCAAAGUGCUGGGAUUACAGGCAUGAGCCACCAUGCCCGGCCCAAUCAAGUUUUUAAUUCUCUAAAUAACAUUAGGAUUUGUGCUAGAACCUUUAAAAUAUUACUCAAACGAGGGCAGCAGGGAUUGGGGAUAGGAUUUCUAUUAUUUGUGCUACCUGACUAAUUCUGGAGACUUGGACCCAGACUUUGGUGGGUUGAAUCCAAAGGUGCAGGGACUUUGUGUUCCCCAAGAGGGCAGGCAGCAGAGCCCAUGUGUUCUUUAACUAACUGUGUCUUUGUGUUUGCAAUGGCAAUGGGAAAGAGGGAAAAAUUAUAAUAAUUCUUACAAUGAUUAUGUGCUGGGAUCUUUGGCUGGAAUGAUCCCUUGGAAUGAAAAGCUGAUACUAUCAUGCCUUUGCUUACAUCCCUUCAGUGGCUUGUUUUCUUUGGAGCCUGUAAAAUCAAAGUCCAAAUCCUUCCUGUGACUUAGAGUCGCCGCAGUCUGUCUCUUGUCCUCCCUACUCUAGUGUACCCAUAUUGUCCACGGAUCUCGGAAUAUGUCAUGCCUUCUCUAGUCUCAGGGUCUUUGCACAGGAAGUUCCCAUGUUAUAAAAUGCUUUUCCCCCUUCUUUUCACCUUUAUAACCUCUACUUAUCUUCCUGUUUUAUGCUAAAGUCUCUGUCAGAGAAGGCUUUCUCAAAUCCUCCAAACAAGUCAGGUCAUUUCCCCCUGUAUUUCUACGAUGCCCAUUCUCAGAGCUGAUGGCAAUCAGUAAAACUGUGUCCCUCACUGUAUGCUUACCAGUUAAAACAUUGAAGACAAUACUUUUGUAAUUGUUGAUGAUUUAUUACUGCUCUGAGCCCCCAGUGCCAAGCCCUGACCACACGGACCCUCUUUGGAACAUUCCCUUUUGCCCAUUCCCCAUUACUCCAAAAUCAAGCAACUAAAAGUUUAUUCUCUGGCACCAUAGUGGACUUUCAGACCCCUGAUCUGAGGUUACAGCCAAAAUCCAUUCUGAUUGGCCCAUAUAAUCCCUGCUCAUAUUUCUGCCUUAUGAUUAUUUGUCUCAUAAUCAUGUUAUCGAGCAGUGAUUAUUUGUGUUUUUGGUAACAUUCUAAAAUCCAGAAAGCAGGGGCGAGUUUUAGAGUAUAGUGGACCUGCAACCUGAAAUACUCAAUAUGCACUUCUGUUAACUGCUUGUGUUAUUUAAUCCUCACAACUCCAUGAGGUAAAAGUUGUCCAGCCUUUCUAUUUUACAACUGAGGCUUCAAAAGAUAAAAGAGAUCCAUGCUGAAGGGAGAGGAAAAGAAGAAGACCCCAAGGACCACAGGCCUGGGCCUGUGUUAUCCCAAUGCCAUCAUCUCAGGAUACGAUGGGAGCUGCUAGGUGUAGAGAUGGCUCUUCUUUGAAGAAACCCCCAUGAAAUGGUUUCAGGGGAGGUCACUGUGGUUAUAUCCCAGAAGAUUUGCCCUGCAAGUGAAACAGAAGCUUCUCAUGGAGAUGUGGAGGGGGCUGCCCCGCUGUGUCAGAAAGUGGAGACUCUAUGGAACCAACCCCAUUAUACUGAGAUAGGGUUGAGGCUGCUGAUGGGUCUUUACCUAUUGUAGCUUCCAUUUGUAUGGUAGGCAGCCGCUAAGAUGGCCCCAGAUAUCACUGCCUUGUGAUAGUCCUGUCUUUGUGUAAUCCACUCCCCAUGAGUGUGGGCUGGAUCUACUGGCUCUCUUCUGCUAAACAGAUGAUCGAAAAAGUGAUGAAAUGUCACUUCUAAAAUUAGGUUACACAGAGAAUGUGGUUUCUUUUUUGCUCACUCCCUCUUACUCAGGGAAACUAGCUACCUCUUUAUGUACUGCCCUAUGGAGAGGCACACAUGUCAAGAAACUGAGGGAGUGCCUUCCAGUCAACAGCCAGCCAGGAACUAAGGUGCUCAGUACAGCAGCCUCCACAAAGGACUGAACAAUGCCAACAGCUAUUUGACUGUGCUUGGAAGAUCUCCGUUUAGUUAACCCUUCAGAUGAGACCGCAGCCCUGGCCAGCAAACAAAUUGCAGCCUAUGGAAAGACCUUAAGGCAGAAGCACCCAACUGAACCACCCGAGGGCUCUGACUUACAGAAACUGUGAGCAUAUAGUGAAAUGGCCUCUACCUUAUUUUGAAUGGAUUUCUGGGAUAAAGUUCUUCAGUGAUAACAUGUUUGAAGCGGCUAUCUUAUGUGCCCAUGUUACAUGCUCAUGAUAAAGCUGCAUUUCCUGAGGGGACACCAAUGGAUACACCUCUGCCUGGCACGCAGCUUAGAGGCUAAAUGUAUGAAAAGCAACACCAUGCAAAUCAUUUUGAAACUGCUGUGGAACUCUCACGGGACCCUCCAUUCUAGACAUCCAGUCCCACUAGUGAUCUGACCAUGAAACCUACUAAGAGACUUCCAGAAGAAGAUGACCUCUGAAAGGAGAAAACUUUCUUCCAAGCUUCUGUGGAACAAGAAGAUGCCAUCCCUUUGGUGGAGCCCAAAGGGAAACCAGGACACUGAAGGAAUUAACCAGAAAGAAAAGAAGAGAAGAAGGAGAAGAAAGAAGAAGAAGAAGAAGGAGAAGGAGAAGGAGACGAG
RNAcentral lists this long non-coding RNA (2587 nucleotides) under Homo sapiens (human). RNAcentral describes it as "HSALNT0387134". The record is from RNAcentral. Lineage: Eukaryota; Metazoa; Chordata; Mammalia; Primates; Hominidae.